RNAcentral lists this long non-coding RNA (208 nucleotides) under Apteryx rowi (Okarito brown kiwi). Its description in RNAcentral is "lncRNA (ENSARWG00000012589.1)". Lineage: Eukaryota; Metazoa; Chordata; Aves; Apterygiformes; Apterygidae. The record is from RNAcentral.
GGGAGAUGGGUGAGAACCCCAGUUUCACACUCUCCAAGGAAAUUGUUGAUAGGUAUGAAGGCAAGAUUUGGGAAGAUUUCUUCACAAAGCAUUUUAAACAGAAUCCUGAAAUAAAUGCUGUUCAGCUCCAGAGGAUCCUGAAUAAUGUAUCUUGGAGAAGUAAGUACUAAGAAAUAAUGUUUCUGUAAAAUAAACCCUCUUAGAGAAA